This 788-nucleotide ribosomal RNA is filed under the name uncultured bacterium. Its description in RNAcentral is "bacterial SSU rRNA". It matches the Rfam family "Bacterial small subunit ribosomal RNA", at positions 8 to 796 of the family's 1533-position model. The record is from RNAcentral.
AGAGUUUGAUCAUGGCUCAGGAUGAACGCUAGCGGCAGGCCUAAUACAUGCAAGUCGAACGGGCUGGAGUAGCAAUACUUCAGUUAGUGGCGCACGGGUGCGUAACGCGUAUGCAACCUACCUUUUAUUGGGGGAUAGCCCGAAGAAAUUCGGAUUAAUACCGCAUAAUAUCAUUUGAGGGCAUCUGAGGAUGAUGAAAGCUAAGGCGAUAAAAGAUGGGCAUGCGUGUCAUUAGCUAGUUGGUGAGGUAACGGCUCACCAAGGCGACGAUGACUAGGGGUUCUGAGAGGAUGAUCCCCCACACUGGUACUGAGAUACGGACCAGACUCCUACGGGAGGCAGCAGUAGGGAAUAUUGGGCAAUGGCCGCAAGGCUGACCCAGCCAUGCCGCGUGCCGGAUGAAGGCCUUCUGGGUUGUAAACGGCUUUUACCAGGGAAGAAAAUACCUUUGCGAAGGGAACUGACGGUACCUGGUGAAUAAGCACCGGCUAACUCCGUGCCAGCAGCCGCGGUAAUACGGAGGGUGCAAGCGUUGUCCGGAUUUAUUGGGUUUAAAGGGUGCGUAGGCGGCCAAGUAAGUCCGUGGUGAAAGCCAACAGCUCAACUGUUGAACUGCCAUGGAUACUGCUAGGCUUGAGUACAGACGAGGUAGGCGGAAUGGAUCGUGUAGCGGUGAAAUGCAUAGAUACGAUCCAGAACUCCGAUUGCGAAGGCAGCUUACUAGGCUGUAACUGACGCUGAGGCACGAAAGCGUGGGGAGCGAACAGGAUUAGAUACCCUAGUAGUCC